This 253-nucleotide ribosomal RNA is filed under the name uncultured bacterium. RNAcentral's name for it is "partial 16S ribosomal RNA". It matches the Rfam family "Bacterial small subunit ribosomal RNA", at positions 524 to 776 of the family's 1533-position model. The record is from RNAcentral.
UACGUAGGGUGCGAGCGUUAAUCGGAAUUACUGGGCGUAAAGCGUGCGCAGGCGGUGAUGUAAGACAGAUGUGAAAUCCCCGGGCUCAACCUGGGAACUGCAUUUGUGACUGCAUCGCUGGAGUGCGGCAGAGGGGGAUGGAAUUCCGCGUGUAGCAGUGAAAUGCGUAGAUAUGCGGAGGAACACCGAUGGCGAAGGCGGCAUCCUGGACCAACACUGACACUGAGGAGCGAAAGCCAGGGGAGCAAACGGG